GUGGGGAAUAUUGGACAAUGGGGGGAACCCUGAUCCAGCCAUGCCGCGUGUGUGAAGAAGGCCUUUUGGUUGUAAAGCACUUUAAGCGAGGAGGAGGCUACCGAGAUUAAUACUCUUGGAUAGUGGACGUUACUCGCAGAAUAAGCACCGGCUAACUCUGUGCCAGCAGCCGCGGUAAUACAGAGGGUGCAAGCGUUAAUCGGAUUUACUGGGCGUAAAGCGCGCGUAGGUGGCCAAUUAAGUCAAAUGUGAAAUCCCCGAGCUUAACUUGGGAAUUGGAUUCGAUACUGGUUGGCUAGAGUAUGGGAGAGGAUGGUAGAAUUCCAGGUGUAGCGGUGAAAUGCGUAGAGAUCUGGAGGAAUACCGAUGGCGAAGGCAGCCAUCUGGCCUAAUACUGACACUGAGGUGCGAAAGCAUGGGGAGCAAACAGGAUUAGAAACCCGGGUAGUCC
This 451-nucleotide ribosomal RNA is filed under the name uncultured bacterium. RNAcentral describes it as "partial 16S ribosomal RNA". It matches the Rfam family "Bacterial small subunit ribosomal RNA", at positions 354 to 796 of the family's 1533-position model. The record is from RNAcentral.